This is a non-coding RNA of Microcebus murinus (gray mouse lemur), 663 nucleotides long. The record is from RefSeq and is a predicted model, not a curated record. NCBI's taxonomy places the organism in Eukaryota, Metazoa, Chordata, Mammalia, Primates, Cheirogaleidae.
GCUCUGACCCUGGGUCUUCAUUGGCUCCACUGAUUGCUCGGCGAGUGUCCAGGGUCGACUUAAUGUUGACAGUGGCAGUCACCAGCAGGAAAAGCACGGCCUCUGCCUGACAGAAUCUCCUCGGGGCCCGCUUGUUGUCAGUUUAUGCUUCCAGAGCAGCAUGUUUCAGCUUCCAGGAAUUCAUCCCUGAGGGGUAAAUUAGACUGGCUACAGAAAGAGACUGACUACAGAGGAGAAGGGUGAGAGAUCAGCCAGUCUUGAUAUGAAGAGCCCAGAAGGCAGCUGGCAGAUGGGGAGAUGAUGUGAAGAAUUUGGACUGGGAAGGACAAGGUGAGACAGAUUCAAGGAGGCUGGAGAUGGAGAAAUGUCCUUUACCUAAGUUGGAUGAGACUCUGGUCUGUCAUCAAUGAAUGUUGGCACCAGUGACCCAAGGACUAGAAGAACAGACUCAGAAGCUUGGCAGUAUAUGGAAGAACGAAGAAGAGGAAGAAAAUUGAUACUUAAAUUAGGAGAAGAUAGAGCUGACUACAGAAGGAAAAACAAUCCUUUCUGAGAGGACCAGAAUCCUCCAGAAGAAGAGGCCGAGACAAGGAUUUAAAUACAAGUUGUUUAUAUGGGAAAUGCAAAGAACACUGGAAAGGAAAUAGGCAAGUGAUACAGAGA